This 2531-nucleotide long non-coding RNA is filed under the name Capsicum annuum. RNAcentral describes it as "long non-coding RNA (CANN_LNC002654)". The record is from RNAcentral. Lineage: Eukaryota; Viridiplantae; Streptophyta; Magnoliopsida; Solanales; Solanaceae.
UUUUUCAUUUGUUCUUGGAGAAAAUUUGUUUUCCCCUAUUUUAUUGGUCCACCGAUUUCAGAUUUGUUCAGGAAAUUCCAAAUUAGUACCAAUCUUGAAUGGGAAAUCUUAUCCAGAACCCCAAAAGUUCAAAAAUAUCCUCUUGUUCAAUCCCUAAAAUACCCCCAUCUCCGUAUCCUAUAUAAAAACCCUUUGAGGUCACUAUUUAGGGAUUGGGAAAUCCUAGGGUUCGAAAAUUAGGUAGGAAAUUCUGAAAUCUAGAAAUUCUAGGAUUGGGAAAUUCCAGAAAAGAAACUUAGGUUCAAGAAAAUGAAAGGAAAGAAAACUUUGGAAGAAAUAUAAGGUCUUUAGUGGAAAUUCUUUCUUGUUUUGAGAGUCCAUUGACUAAAUUCGAGUUUCAAGUUGGUGGUGAAGGAGUGUUCUGGUGGUCAUGAUCUCUAUAGCCAGUUCGUUGCUCCAUUUUGCUGCCCUUAAAGAGGUAAAUACACUCUGUUUACCUCCUAAUUUGAUCUCUUUUCUCCUUCUCCUCUUUUCUGUGUAGCUGAUGUUGUAAUCAUGAAUUUAUUUUAUUAGGAAUAGUUUGAUGUAGUCAUAGUUGUAAUGGGGUUUUGCUUAGAGCAGCCUCCAUGGCCUGAUCAAAAAUUUUAAUUGUUCUGGGUUGUUUGCUGGUAGAUGACUUUAACAACUGUAGGAAUUAGUUGAAGAUAAUUGUGUUUGCAUUGUUUUUGCUAGAGCGAGGCCCAUCCUACCAUGUCGUUCUGUUAUCUAUUCUGUCUUUCUGACUUUGCUAUUUUGAAUCCUCAUUCUUGCAUUACUGUUGUUGGUUCGUUGCUAGUCUCGUUUUCAGUAUGUUUUGCCUUUUGUAUAAUUGAUUUGUGUGCGCAAUAUUUGUCAUUGUGAGUUUGUUACCAUUGUUCCUAUAACCAAAUCUGUUUAAUCACACUAUUGUAGUUUUUUUUUAUGGCGUAUCAUUUUUUUGACUCAACCGUAAGUUCAAUAUGUUAGUCUCUCAAUGCAUGUUUCGUGUCUACCUUUUAAAAUUACUUGAAUGUUAGUUUGCAUUCUAGUCAUCACCAUAUCAUUUUUAGAUCUAAGUAUGUUAAUCUGAUUUGUUGAACCUUAGUCUUUUAGUUUGUGUUCAGGACCUUAGUGUUAUGUUGUGGGUAAUUUGUACUCUCUCGAGUUUGUCUUUUGAAUUUUUACAGUUGACAAAAAACAUCCUUUAAAGCUCCUAUUGAAAAAAAAUGUCAAUAAAGGGCAAGAGGAUAUGUUAUAUUGAUUUUAAAUCAUCCCACGACCCUUCAAGGACUCAUAUCAGCCCUCAAAGUUUUGUACAAACUUAUCGAGAGAAAAGGUGUCAUGUUGUAUCAGGAAAGUUUGUUUUUAGUGUAUCUUUGUAGGUGGGUGAAAUCUAUGUUAAAAAUUUUAAAGUAAAUGUUUGGAUUGUUUCAUUUACUCCCAUUUGAUUCUAAUCACGCACCACCAUGUUGUGAUUGUGAAUAUGUGACCCACAUAUUAUUACUUUUCAUGACUUUGAUGGAAUUUGAUCCUUGUUUCAAGAUCUGUCCAGCUAGAGUUAAUAUUUGGCGUAGUGGCAUACUAGAAGUGAUAAAGGGAAAUCUGGUGUGUGAAUUUGUUGGUACUUAAAAGGGAGGGUCUUUUUCUUUUAUGGGUCGCAACCAUGAGUAGAUAAAAAGGGACUGGAGUCUGGAUUUGAUCAUGAAUAGAAUUUGUUUUCCUUUUUCCUUAACUUGUGGUUGUUACCGCUAUUCUUUCCCUCUGAUGAUAUCAUGUUAAAGUGUAUAAGAACUAUAUCUCUAUAAUUUUAAUUUUCACGAUACUUUAAAAGUUUAAAUUUUGAACUCUGGAAUGGCUUAUAGGCAUCUUAUUGGGUUAUUUUCGAAUGUCCUAUGGCUCUAGUCAUUCACACUUGCCUGUUGUGUUAUUAUAACUAUUGUUAUGAUUGUUUUAUUCCUACUGUUCUAGCUUAGAGAGUAUACUAACUGCCUUUCAUUGAAUUAGCUGGAUCAUUUUCAUAUCAUUACUUGCUAUUGUAUGGACGUGUGAGAAUGCUCUUUUAAUGAUGUCAUUUACCUUUAAGUAUCUAUCUUUUAACACUUAUUAAUUACUUCGCCUUUCUUUUGCAUGUGGACUCUUUUUCCUUUGCAUGUUUAUUAUGUGCCAUUGAGGCCCAAUAACCCCGAGUUGAUUCCGAUGGAAAAUCUUAAGUCAGUUACAUAGCAUCUGGAUACGAAGAAUCAAAGGAAGAUGAAUGGGUUGAAAUCCCAUAUUAGAAGUGGCUAAGAGACUUAAAAGUCUCAUUUAUUUGCCUAGUUAUUCAGCAUUGCCUUUAUGCAUUCAUUUCUUUGUUUUCUUGUUUCUUUAUUUUAUUCAUUCGGGACAUGGAGCCAAAGUUGUAUUUAAUACUGGUGGAGCAAGUUUGAGCCGAAGGCUAAAAAAUAUAGAUUAGGACAGGUGGAAGACGGGUCGAAAAUCCAAUAUCUAGAUUAGGACAGGGUGACGGAUUUGGG